CAAGCAUUUGGCUAGGUAUUACUGUUGGAGCUAGAAACACAAGCAUUUAGCUAGGUAUUACUGUUGGAGCCAGAAACACAAGCAUUUAGCUAGGUAUUACUGUUGGAGCUAGAAACACAAGCAUUUAGCUAGGUAUUACUGUUGGAGCUAGAAACACAAGCAUUUAGCUAGGUAUUACUGUUGGAGCUAGAAACACAAGCAUUUAGCUAGGUAUUACUGUUGGAGCUAGAAACACAAGCAUUUAGCUAGGUAUUACUGUUGGAGCUAGAAACACAAGCAUUUAGCUAGGUAUUACUGUUGGAGCCAGAAACACAAGCAUUUAGCUAGGUAUUACUGUUGGAGCUAGAAACACAAGCAUUUAGCUAGGUAUUACUGUUGGAGCCAGAAACACAAGCAUUUAGCUAGGUAUUACUGUUGGAGCUAGAAACACAAGCAUUUAGCUAGGUAUUACUGUUGGAGCCAGAAACACAAGCAUUUAGCUAGGUAUUACUGUUGGAGCUAGAAACACAAGCAUUUAGCUAGGUAUUACUGUUGGAGCUAGAAACACAAGCAUUUAGCUAGGUAUUACUGUUGGAGCCAGAAACACAAGCAUUUAGCUAGGUAUUACUGUUGGAGCUAGAAACACAAGCAUUUAGCUAGGUAUUACUGUUGGAGCUAGAAACACAAGCAUUUAGCUAGGUAUUACUGUUGGAGCUAGAAACACAAGCAUUUAGCUAGGUAUUACUGUUGGAGCCAGAAACACAAGCAUUUAGCUAGGUAUUACUGUUGGAGCCAGAAACACAAGCAUUUAGCUAGGUAUUACUGUUGGAGCUAGAAACACAAGCAUUUAGCUAGGUAUUACUGUUGGAGCUAGAAACACAAGCAUUUAGCUAGGUAUUACUGUUGGAGCUAGAAACACAAGCAUUUAGCUAGGUAUUACUGUUGGAGCUAGAAACACAAGCAUUUAGCUAGGUAUUACUGUUGGAGCUAGAAACACAAGCAUUUAGCUAGGUAUUACUGUUGGAGCCAGAAACACAAGCAUUUAGCUAGGUAUUACUGUUGGAGCUAGAAACACAAGCAUUUAGCUAGGUAUUACUGUUGGAGCCAGAAACACAAGCAUUUAGCUAGGUAUUACUGUUGGAGCUAGAAACACAAGCAUUUAGCUAGGUAUUACUGUUGGAGCCAGAAACACAAGCAUUUAGCUAGGUAUUACUGUUGGAGCUAGAAACACAAGCAUUUAGCUAGGUAUUACUGUUGGAGCUAGAAACACAAGCAUUUAGCUAGGUAUUACUGUUGGAGCCAGAAACACAAGCAUUUAGCUAGGUAUUACUGUUGGAGCUAGAAACACAAGCAUUUAGCUAGGUAUUACUGUUGGAGCUAGAAACACAAGCAUUUAGCUAGGUAUUACUGUUGGAGCCAGAAACACAAGCAUUUAGCUAGGUAUUACUGUUGGAGCUAGAAACACAAGCAUUUAGCUAGGUAUUACUGUUGGAGCUAGAAACACAAGCAUUUAGCUAGGUAUUACUGUUGGAGCUAGAAACACAAGCAUUUAGCUAGGUAUUACUGUUGGAGCCAGAAACACAAGCAUUUAGCUAGGUAUUACUGUUGGAGCCAGAAACACAAGCAUUUAGCUAGGUAUUACUGUUGGAGCUAGAAACACAAGCAUUUAGCUAGGUAUUACUGUUGGAGCUAGAAACACAAGCAUUUAGCUAGGUAUUACUGUUGGAGCUAGAAACACAAGCAUUUAGCUAGGUAUUACUGUUGGAGCUAGAAACACAAGCAUUUAGC
Long non-coding RNA from Oncorhynchus keta (chum salmon), 1767 nucleotides. RefSeq lists it as uncharacterized. The transcript has 11 exons. Lineage: Eukaryota; Metazoa; Chordata; Actinopteri; Salmoniformes; Salmonidae. The record is from RefSeq and is a predicted model, not a curated record.